Molecule: ribosomal RNA, 1931 nt
Filed under: human gut metagenome
Description: bacterial LSU rRNA
Rfam family: Bacterial large subunit ribosomal RNA
Source: RNAcentral
CGGGAGGGGAGUGAAAUAGAUCCUGAAACCGCAUACAUACAAACAGUAGGAGCCCGCAAGGGUGACUGCGUACCUUUUGCAUAAUGGGUCAGCGACUUACGUUCAAUGGCAAGCUUAACCGAGUAGGGGAGGCGCAGCGAAAGCGAGUCCGAACAGGGCGACAUGAGUCGUUGGGCGUAGACCCGAAACCAGAUGAUCUAUCCAUGGCCAGGCUGAAGGUGUGGUAACACACACUGGAGGGCCGAACCGACUAGUGUUGCAAAAUUAGCGGAUGAGCUGUGGAUAGGGGUGAAAGGCUAAACAAAUCUGGAGAUAGCUGGUUCUCCCCGAAAACUAUUGAGGUAGUGCCUCGUGUAUGGCUCCAGGGGGUAGAGCACUGUUAUGGCUAGGGGGACAUGGCGUCUUACCAAACCAUGGCAAACUCCGAAUACUUGGAAGUCUGAGCACGGGAGACAGAGCACCGGGUGCUAACGUCCGGACUCAAAAGGGAAACAACCCAGACCGCCGGCUAAGGUCCCUAAUAUUGACUAAGUGGAAAACGAAGUGGGAAGGCUAAGACAGUCAGGAAGUUGGCUUAGAAGCAGCCAUCCUUCAAAGAAAGCGUAAUAGCUCACUGAUCGAGUCUUCCUGCGCGGAAGAUGUAACGGGGCUAAGUCAAUAACCGAAGCCGCGGAUUCGCAGCAAUGCGAGUGGUAGGGGAGCGUUCUGUAAGCCUGCGAAGGCGGAUCCGCGAGGACCGCUGGAGGUAUCAGAAGUGCGAAUGCUGACAUGAGUAACGUUAAAGCGGGUGAAAAGCCCGCUCGCCGCAAGCCCAAGGUUUCCUGCUCUACGUUCAUCGGAGCAGGGUGAGUCGGCCCCUAAGGUCAGGCUGAGAAGCGUAGCUGAUGGGAAGCUGGUUAAUAUUCCAGCACCGAUUUCAAGUGCGAAGGGGGGACGGAGUCCUGAAGGUCAUCCGGGUGUUGGAUAUCCCGGUUUACGAGCGUAGGAGGUUGACAGGCAAAUCCGUCAACGGAUCUCCAAGGCGAAGGAUCGAGGUUGAGAGAUCAACUGAAGUGACUGAAUGGGCUUCCAGGAAAAGCCUCUAAGCAUCAGCUUGGAAUUGACCGUACCGCAAACCGACACUGGUGGGCGAGCUGAAUAUGCUCAGGCGCUUGAGAGAACUCAGGAGAAGGAACUCGGCAAAUUGACACCGUAACUUCGGGAUAAGGUGUGCCUUUGUAGUGUGAAGAGAGAAACACUCCGAGCAUGAAGAGGCCUCAGAGAAUCGGUGGCUGCAACUGUUUACUAAAAACACAGCACUCUGCAAAGAUGAAAGUCGACGUAUAGGGUGUGAUGCCUGCCCGGUGCUGGAAGAUUAAUUGAUGGGGUGCAAGCUCCUGAUCGAAGUCCCAGUAAACGGCGGCCGUAACUAUAACGGUCCUAAGGUAGCGAAAUUCCUUGUCGGGCAAGUUCCGACCUGCACGAAUGGCAUAAUGAUGGCCACACUGUCUCCUCCUGAGACUCAGUGAAGUUGAAAUGUUUGUGAUGAUGCAAUCUCCCCGCGGCUAGACGGAAAGACCCCAUGAACCUUUACUGCAGCUUUGCAUUGGACUUUGAACCGAUCUGUGUAGGAUAGGUGGGAGGCAGUGAAGCUAGGACGCCAGUCUUAGCGGAGCCAACCUUGAAAUACCACCCUGAUUUGUUUGAGGUUCUAACCUAGGAGCGUAAUCCGCUUCGGGGACCGUGCAUGGUAGGCAGUUUGACUGGGGCGGUCUCCUCCUAAAGGGUAACGGAGGAGUGCGAAGGUACGCUAGGUACGGUCGGAAAUCGUGCUGAUAGUGCAAUGGCAAAAGCGUGCUUGACUGCGAGACCGACAAGUCGAGCAGAUACGAAAGUAGGUCAUAGUGAUCCGGUGGCUCUGCAUGGAAGGGCCAUCGCUCAACGGAUAAAAG